UUGUCCUUAAUUCAACGGUUAGAAUAUGCUGCUGAUAUCGGUAAUAUAGUGGUUCGAUUCCACUAGGACAAA
This 72-nucleotide transfer RNA is filed under the name Ceraceosorus bombacis. It matches the Rfam family "tRNA". From Rfam's summary of the family: Transfer RNA (tRNA) molecules are approximately 80 nucleotides in length. Their secondary structure includes four short double-helical elements and three loops (D, anti-codon, and T loops). Lineage: Eukaryota; Fungi; Basidiomycota; Exobasidiomycetes; Ceraceosorales; Ceraceosoraceae. The record is from Rfam by way of RNAcentral.